Molecule: ribosomal RNA, 253 nt
Filed under: uncultured bacterium
Lineage: Bacteria
Description: partial 16S ribosomal RNA
Rfam family: Bacterial small subunit ribosomal RNA
Source: RNAcentral
UACGUAGGGUGCAAGCGUUAAUCGGAAUUGCUGGGCGUAAAGCGUGCGCAGGCGGUUUUGUAAGUCUGAUGUGAAAUCCCCGGGCUCAACCUGGGAAUUGCAUUGGAGACUGCAAGGCUAGAAUCUGGCAGAGGGGGGUAGAAUUCCACGUGUAGCAGUGAAAUGCGUAGAGAUGUGGAGGAACACCGAUGGCGAAGGCAGCCCCCUGGGUCAAGAUUGACGCUCAUGCACGAAAGCGUGGGGAGCAAACAGG